CACAUGCAGUCGAACGAUGAAGCCCUUCGGGGUGGAUUAGUGGCGAACGGGUGAGUAACACGUGGGCAAUCUGCCCUUCACUCUGGGACAAGCCCUGGAAACGGGGUCUAAUACCGGAUAACACCGGCCUCUGCAUGGAGGCUGGUUGAAAGCUCCGGCGGUGAAGGAUGAGCCCGCGGCCUAUCAGCUUGUUGGUGGGGUAAUGGCCUACCAAGGCGACGACGGGUAGCCGGCCUGAGAGGGCGACCGGCCACACUGGGACUGAGACACGGCCCAGACUCCUACGGGAGGCAGCAGUGGGGAAUAUUGCACAAUGGGCGAAAGCCUGAUGCAGCGACGCCGCGUGAGGGAUGACGGCCUUCGGGUUGUAAACCUCUUUCAGCAGGGAAGAAGCGAAAGUGACGGUACCUGCAGAAGAAGCGCCGGCUAACUACGUGCCAGCAGCCGCGGUAAUACGUAGGGCGCAAGCGUUGUCCGGAAUUAUUGGGCGUAAAGAGCUCGUAGGCGGCUUGUCACGUCGGGUGUGAAAGCCCGGGGCUUAACCCCGGGUCUGCAUCCGAUACGGGCAGGCUAGAGUGUGGUAGGGGAGAUCGGAAUUCCUGGUGUAGCGGUGAAAUGCGCAGAUAUCAGGAGGAACACCGGUGGCGAAGGCGGAUCUCUGGGCCAUUACUGACGCUGAGGAGCGAAAGCGUGGGGAGCGAACAGGAUUAGAUACCCUGGUAGUCCACGCCGUAAACGUUGGGAACUAGGUGUUGGCGACAUUCCACGUCGUCGGUGCCGCAGCUAACGCAUUAAGUUCCCCGCCUGGGGAGUACGGCCGCAAGGCUAAACUCAAUGAUUUUGACGGGGAGAG
Molecule: ribosomal RNA, 853 nt
Filed under: actinobacterium 00YDX
Lineage: Bacteria; Bacillati; Actinomycetota; Actinomycetes
Description: bacterial SSU rRNA
Rfam family: Bacterial small subunit ribosomal RNA
Source: RNAcentral